CCUACGGGUGGCAGCAGUGGGGAAUAUUGCACAAUGGGGGAAACCCUGAUGCAGCGACGCCGCGUGAGUGAAGAAGUAAUUCGUUAUGUUAAGCUCUAUCAGCCGGGAAGCAAAUGACGGUACCUGAGUCAGAAGCCCCGGCUAACUACGUGACAGCAGCCGCGGUACUACGUAGGGGGCAAGCGUUAUCCGGAUUUACGGGGUGUAAAGGGGGCGUAGGCGGAAAUGCAGGUCUGGAGUGAAAGGCGGGGGCCCAACCCCCGGACUGCUCUGGAAACUGUACGGCUGGAGUGCAGGAGAGGUAAGGGGAAUGCCUAGUGUAGCGGUGAAAUGCGUAGAUAUUAGGAGGAACACCAGUGGCGAAGGCGGCUUACUGGACUGUAACUGACGUUGAGGCUCGAAAGCGUGGGUAGCGAACAGGAUUAGAUACCCGGGUAGUC
This 440-nucleotide ribosomal RNA is filed under the name uncultured bacterium. RNAcentral describes it as "partial 16S ribosomal RNA". It matches the Rfam family "Bacterial small subunit ribosomal RNA", at positions 338 to 795 of the family's 1533-position model. The record is from RNAcentral.